RNAcentral lists this ribosomal RNA (270 nucleotides) under uncultured bacterium. RNAcentral's name for it is "partial 16S ribosomal RNA". It matches the Rfam family "Bacterial small subunit ribosomal RNA", at positions 524 to 776 of the family's 1533-position model. The record is from RNAcentral.
UACGUAGGUGGCAAGCGUUGUCCGGAUUUACUGGGCGUAAAGGGCGCGUAGGCGGCCUGGUAAGCGUGCGGUGAAAGCCCGGGGCUCAACCCCGGGUCGGCCGUGCGAACUGCUGGGCUCGAGCACUGUAGAGGCAGGUGGAAUUCCGGGUGUAGCGGUGGAAUGCGUAGAGAUCCGGAAGAACACCGGUGGCGAGGGCGGCCUGCUGGGCAGUGACUCGCAAGAGUCAAUAGCUGACGCUGAGGCGCGACAGCGUGGGGAGCAAACAGG